GACUGGGAUAACUUCGGGAAACCGGAGCUAAUACCGGAUAACAUUUGGAACCGCAUGGUUCUAAAGUGAAAGAUGGUUUUGCUAUCACUUAUAGAUGGACCCGCGCCGUAUUAGCUAGUUGGUGGGGUAAUGGCUUACCAAGGCAACGAUACGUAGCCGACCUGAGAGGGUGAUCGGCCACACUGGAACUGAGACACGGUCCAGACUCCUACGGGAGGCAGCAGUAGGGAAUCUUCCGCAAUGGGCGAAAGCCUGACGGAGCAACGCCGCGUGAGUGAUGAAGGUCUUCGGAUCGUAAAACUCUGUUAUUAGGGAAGAACAAAUGUGUAAGUAACUGUGCACGUCUUGACGGUACCUAAUCAGAAAGCCACGGCUAACUACGUGCCAGCAGCCGCGGUAAUACGUAGGUGGCAAGCGUUAUCCGGAAUUAUUGGGCGUAAAGCGCGCGUAGGCGGUUUCUUAAGUCUGAUGUGAAAGCCCACGGCUCAACCGUGGAGGGUCAUUGGAAACUGGGAAACUUGAGUACAGAAGAGGAAAGUGGAAUUCCAUGUGUAGCGGUGAAAUGCGCAGAGAUAUGGAGGAACACCAGUGGCGAAGGCGACUUUCUGGUCUGUAACUGACGCUGAUGUGUGAAAGCGUGGGGAUCAAACAGGAUUAGAUACCCUGGUAGUCCACGCCGUAAACGAUGAGUGCUAAGUGUUAGGGGGUUUCCGCCCCUUAGUGCUGCAGCUAA
RNAcentral lists this ribosomal RNA (733 nucleotides) under uncultured Staphylococcus sp. Its description in RNAcentral is "bacterial SSU rRNA". It matches the Rfam family "Bacterial small subunit ribosomal RNA", at positions 136 to 855 of the family's 1533-position model. Lineage: Bacteria; Bacillati; Bacillota; Bacilli; Caryophanales; Staphylococcaceae. The record is from RNAcentral.